Molecule: ribosomal RNA, 895 nt
Filed under: Cytobacillus firmus
Lineage: Bacteria; Bacillati; Bacillota; Bacilli; Caryophanales; Bacillaceae
Description: bacterial SSU rRNA
Rfam family: Bacterial small subunit ribosomal RNA
Source: RNAcentral
GUCGAGCGGACAGAUGGGAGCUUGCUCCCUGAAGUCAGCGGCGGACGGGUGAGUAACACGUGGGCAACCUGCCUGUAAGACUGGGAUAACUCCGGGAAACCGGGGCUAAUACCGGAUAACUCUUUUCCUCACAUGAGGAAAAGCUGAAAGAUGGUUUCGGCUAUCACUUACAGAUGGGCCCGCGGCGCAUUAGCUAGUUGGUGAGGUAACGGCUCACCAAGGCCACGAUGCGUAGCCGACCUGAGAGGGUGAUCGGCCACACUGGGACUGAGACACGGCCCAGACUCCUACGGGAGGCAGCAGUAGGGAAUCUUCCGCAAUGGACGAAAGUCUGACGGAGCAACGCCGCGUGAGUGAUGAAGGUUUUCGGAUCGUAAAACUCUGUUGUCAGGGAAGAACAAGUACCGGAGUAACUGCCGGUACCUUGACGGUACCUGACCAGAAAGCCACGGCUAACUACGUGCCAGCAGCCGCGGUAAUACGUAGGUGGCAAGCGUUGUCCGGAAUUAUUGGGCGUAAAGCGCGCGCAGGCGGUUCCUUAAGUCUGAUGUGAAAGCCCCCGGCUCAACCGGGGAGGGUCAUUGGAAACUGGGGAACUUGAGUGCAGAAGAGAAGAGUGGAAUUCCACGUGUAGCGGUGAAAUGCGUAGAGAUGUGGAGGAACACCAGUGGCGAAGGCGACUCUUUGGUCUGUAACUGACGCUGAGGCGCGAAAGCGUGGGGGAGCAAACAGGAUUAGAUACCCUGGUAGUCCACGCCGUAAAACGAUGAGUGCUAAGUGUUAGAGGGUUUCCGCCCUUUAGUGCUGCAGCAAACGCAUUAAGCACUCCGCCUGGGGAGUACGGCCGCAAGGCUGAACUCAAAGGAAUUUGACGGGGGCCCGCACAAGCGGUGGA